This 77-nucleotide transfer RNA is filed under the name Clostridia bacterium. RNAcentral describes it as "tRNA-Pro". It matches the Rfam family "tRNA". From Rfam's summary of the family: Transfer RNA (tRNA) molecules are approximately 80 nucleotides in length. Their secondary structure includes four short double-helical elements and three loops (D, anti-codon, and T loops). Lineage: Bacteria; Bacillati; Bacillota; Clostridia. The record is from RNAcentral.
CGGGGUGUAGCGCAGUUGGCUAGCGUACUUGAUUUGGGAUCAAGGGGUCGAGGGUUCGAGUCCCCCCACCCCGACCA